GACGAACGCUGGCGGCGUGCUUAACACAUGCAAGUCGAGCGGAAAGGCUCCUUCGGGGGUACUCGAGCGGCGAACGGGUGAGUAACACGUGAGUAAUCUGCCCUUGGCUUUGGGAUAACUACCGGAAACGGUGGCUAAUACCGGAUACGACCACUCCUUGCAGGAGGUGGUGGUGGAAAGUUUUUUCGGCCAGGGAUGUGCUCGCGGCCUAUCAGCUUGUUGGUGGGGUAAUGGCCUACCAAGGCUUCGACGGGUAGCCGGCCUGAGAGGGUGACCGGCCACACUGGGACUGAGACACGGCCCAGACUCCUACGGGAGGCAGCAGUGGGGAAUAUUGGACAAUGGGCGGAAGCCUGAUCCAGCAACGCCGCGUGAGGGAUGACGGCCUGG
This 390-nucleotide ribosomal RNA is filed under the name uncultured bacterium. Its description in RNAcentral is "bacterial SSU rRNA". It matches the Rfam family "Bacterial small subunit ribosomal RNA", at positions 28 to 419 of the family's 1533-position model. The record is from RNAcentral.